CGAAAGGGAAACAGCCCAGACCACCAGCUAAGGUCCCAAAAUAUAUGUUAAGUGGAAAAGGAUGUGGCGUUGCCCAGACAACUAGGAUGUUGGCUUAGAAGCAGCCAUCAUUUAAAGAGUGCGUAAUAGCUCACUAGUCGAGUGACACUGCGCCGAAAAUGUACCGGGGCUAAACAUAUUACCGAAGCUGUGGAUUGUCCUUUGGACAAUGGUAGGAGAGCGUUCUAAGGGCGUUGAAGCAUGAUCGUAAGGACAUGUGGAGCGCUUAGAAGUGAGAAUGCCGGUGUGAGUAGCGAAAGACGGGUGAGAAUCCCGUCCACCGAUUGACUAAGGUUUCCAGAGGAAGGCUCGUCCGCUCUGGGUUAGUCGGGUCCUAAGCUGAGGCCGACAGGCGUAGGCGAUGGAUAACAGGUUGAUAUUCCUGUACCACCUAUAAUCGUUUUAAUCGAUGGGGGGACGCAGUAGGAUAGGCGAAGCGUGCGAUUGGAUUGCACGUCUAAGCAGUAAGGCUGAGUAUUAGGCAAAUCCGGUACUCGUUAAGGCUGAGCUGUGAUGGGGAGAAGACAUUGUGUCUUCGAGUCGUUGAUUUCACACUGCCGAGAAAAGCCUCUAGAUAGAAAAUAGGUGCCCGUACCGCAAACCGACACAGGUAGUCAAGAUGAGAAUUCUAAGGUGAGCGAGCGAACUCUCGUUAAGGAACUCGGCAAAAUGACCCCGUAACUUCGGGAGAAGGGGUGCUCUUUAGGGUUAACGCCCAGAAGAGCCGCAGUGAAUAGGCCCAAGCGACUGUUUAUCAAAAACACAGGUCUCUGCUAAACCGUAAGGUGAUGUAUAGGGGCUGACGCCUGCCCGGUGCUGGAAGGUUAAGAGGAGUGGUUAGCUUCUGCGAAGCUACGAAUCGAAGCCCCAGUAAACGGCGGCCGUAACUAUAACGGUCCUAAGGUAGCGAAAUUCCUUG
RNAcentral lists this ribosomal RNA (958 nucleotides) under Staphylococcus aureus. RNAcentral describes it as "partial 23S ribosomal RNA". It matches the Rfam family "Bacterial large subunit ribosomal RNA", at positions 1012 to 1971 of the family's 2925-position model. The record is from RNAcentral. Lineage: Bacteria; Bacillati; Bacillota; Bacilli; Caryophanales; Staphylococcaceae.